Molecule: ribosomal RNA, 305 nt
Filed under: uncultured bacterium
Lineage: Bacteria
Description: bacterial SSU rRNA
Rfam family: Bacterial small subunit ribosomal RNA
Source: RNAcentral
UUUCCUACGGGGGGCAGCAGUGGGGAAUAUUGCACAAUGGGGGAAACCCUGAUGCAGCGACGCCGCGUGAGUGAAGAAGUAAUUCGUUAUGUAAAGCUCUAUCGGCAGGGAAGAAAAUGACGGUACCUGAGUAAGAAGCCCCGGCUAACUACGUGCCAGCAGCCGCGGUAAUACGUAGGGGGCAAGCGUUAUCCGGAUUUACUGGGUGUAAAGGGAGGGUAGACGGCAAUGCAAGUCUGGAGUGAAAGGCGGGGGCUCAACCCCCGGACUGCUCUGGAAAAUGUAAGGCUGGAGUGGAGGGGAGG